This 27-nucleotide non-coding RNA is filed under the name Mus musculus (house mouse). The record is from RNAcentral. Lineage: Eukaryota; Metazoa; Chordata; Mammalia; Rodentia; Muridae.
GGAAAGGAACAGAUGGCUGCCAGGCUC